UGAAUACGAGACGCUAAGGCGUCGAAGUAGUGUAUGUCAUACUUCCAAGAAAAGCUUGCACUGUCAUAAGUAAAAAAUGCCUGUACCAUAACCGACACAGGUGGGUAGGUAGAGUAUACUAAGGGGCGCGAGAUAACUCUCUCUAAGGAACUCGGCAAAAUAACUCCGUAACUUCGGGAGAAGGAGUACCUUAUCCUAUAAGGUUGCAAUAACAAGAUCCAAGCAACUGUUUAUCAAAAACACAGGUCUCCGCUAAGUCGUAAGACGAUGUAUGGGGGCUGACGCCUGCCCAGUGCCAGAAGGUUAAAGAAGUCGGUUAGCAUUAGCGAAGCUGGUAACUGAAGCCCUGGUGAACGGCGGCCGUAACUAUAACGGUCCUAAGGUAGCGAAAUUCCUUGUCGGGUAAGUUCCGACCCGCACGAAAGGCGUAAUGAUUUGGAUACUGUCUCGGAGAGGGGCUCGGUGAAAUAGACUUGUCUGUGAAGAUGCGGACUACCUGCACCAGGACAGAAAGACCCUAUGAAGCUUUACUGUAACUUGAAAUUGAAAUUGGACUUUAUUCGCGCAGUAUAGGUGGGAGGUGUUGAUUAUAAUCUUGCGGGAUUAUUGGAGCCAUCAGUGAGAUACCACUCUUGUAAUGUUAGAUUUCUAACUUUGAAUCAUUAUCUGGUCAAAGGACAGUUUCAGGCGGGCAGUUUGACUGGGGCGGUCGCCUCCCAAACGGUAACGGAGGCGUACAAAGGUUUCCUCUGAACGGGUAGAAAUCGUAUCUAGAGUGUAAAGGCAUAAGGAAGCUUGACUGUGAGACCUACAAGUCGAACAGGGACGAAAGUCGGUCUUAGUGAUCUGACGGUACUGAGUGGAAAGGCCGUCACUCAACGGAUAAAAGUUACUCUAAGGAUAACAGGCUGAUCUCCCCCAAGAGUUCACAUCGACGGGGAGGUUUGGCACCUCGAUGUCGGCUCAUCGCAUCCUGGGGCGGUAGUACGUCCCAAGGGUUGGGCUGUUCGCCCAUGAAAGCGGUACGCGAGCUGGGUUCAGAACGUCGUGAGACAGUUCGGUCCAUAUCCGGUGUAGGCGUUAGAAUAUUGAGAGGAGCCUUCUUUAGUACGAGAGGACCGAGAAGGACAUACCUCUGGUGUACCAGUUAUCGUGCCAACGGUAAACGCUGGGUAGCUAUGUAUGGAGUGGAUAACCGCUGAAAGCAUCUAAGUGGGAAGCCCACCUCAAGAUAAGUAUUCUC
Molecule: ribosomal RNA, 1243 nt
Filed under: metagenome
Description: bacterial LSU rRNA
Rfam family: Bacterial large subunit ribosomal RNA
Source: RNAcentral